Long non-coding RNA from Saccostrea echinata, 434 nucleotides. RefSeq lists it as uncharacterized. The record is from RefSeq and is a predicted model, not a curated record. The transcript has 2 exons. Lineage: Eukaryota; Metazoa; Mollusca; Bivalvia; Ostreida; Ostreidae.
UCCACUCAAAGAAUUAUGGAUGGCAGAGAGUAUUUCCUAUGGAUGAGAUGUCAUAACCAACUUUGAAAAUGUUUUGUUUGAAAGAAAAAGAUCUGAAGAAGGAGAAAGAUCUAGAUUCAGAUGGAUUUAUAGACUGUCAGACCUUUUGUUAUCACUUAAUUCUGUAAUAGUAGUUCUUUAACACUGAGCCUGUAAACUUUUGAUUUGAUGGUUUAUCUAAUCUGAGAAAGCAGUGUCCAUGAUAUCAAUCUUUAAGCAUUUCAAGAUUAGCAAUACAGAAUAUCUGCAGAUGUAAUAGCAGAUGAAAAUCCCACACAAACAGGACACUCAGAUAUGUUAUUGGAAUUUAGAGAUAUUUCAUUUCUUUCUUGUGUGGAUUGGUUUAUAAGAAAAACUGUGUAUACCAGAAACAAUAUAAUAAACUAAUUACUUCA